AGUGAACGCUGGCGGUAGGCCUAACACAUGCAAGUCGAACGGCAGCACAGUAAGAGCUUGCUCUUACGGGUGGCGAGUGGCGGACGGGUGAGGAAUACAUCGGAAUCUACUUUUUCGUGGGGGAUAACGUAGGGAAACUUACGCUAAUACCGCAUACGACCUACGGGUGAAAGCAGGGGAUCUUCGGACCUUGCGCGAUUGAAUGAGCCGAUGUCGGAUUAGCUAGUUGGCGGGGUAAAGGCCCACCAAGGCGACGAUCCGUAGCUGGUCUGAGAGGAUGAUAAGCCACACUGGAACUGAGACACGGUCCAGACUCCUACGGGAGGCAGCAGUGGGGAAUAUGGGACAAUGGGCGCAAGCCUGAUCCAGCCAUACCGCGUGGGUGAAGAAGGCCUUCGGGUUGUAAAGCCCUUUUGUUGGGAAAGAAAAGCAGCAGGUUAAUACCCAGCUGUUCUGACGGUACCCAAAGAAUAAGCACCGGCUAACUUCGUG
This 492-nucleotide ribosomal RNA is filed under the name uncultured bacterium. Its description in RNAcentral is "partial 16S ribosomal RNA". It matches the Rfam family "Bacterial small subunit ribosomal RNA", at positions 29 to 507 of the family's 1533-position model. The record is from RNAcentral.